Molecule: long non-coding RNA, 1445 nt
Organism: Heterocephalus glaber (naked mole-rat)
Lineage: Eukaryota; Metazoa; Chordata; Mammalia; Rodentia; Bathyergidae
Source: RefSeq, a predicted model, not a curated record
GGAUUGUGAUCCAAACUAUUGUCGAAAGUGAGCUCAUGUCACCAUUCUCAAAGAGGAAAGAAAAAGCCCCUGGUGGCCGGGGAUUUAGCUCAGUGGUUCCAGCACCUGCCUCGCAAGCGCAAGGUCCCAAGUUCGAUCCCCGGCACCAAAAAAACCCCAAAAAACCCUGGUUCUCCAAGGAAGUAACUGAUUUGGCUGAGCUACUAGUUACAAUGACUCAGAUAAAAUCCAGCACAUCCUAAAUGGUUUCUUGGCAUCAAAAAUUUUAACCAUAGUGUCACUAAAAUUCACUACAACCUUGGAAUAAGAACCCUGUGAAAAUCAGCCUCUCUUGAGUGGACCUUUCAGAAUCAAGAACUUUCUGAUGUGAGCAGUCUUCUUAGAUGUUUACCUCAUGUUGCUCAGCACCUACUUCUGCCAAGAGGAGAAGCCAAGCCAGAGGCAGUUACUGUGAUGGAUACCGUGUGUGCUUAGCGGCCACCCCCCACUCCUGCUCCUCAGGGCUCAGGCCAGCAACCUCUUCUUCCCCACGAAGUCUCUGUGCUUCUGAGAGUCCCCAAGGGAUAGACUAGGAGUAAUAUUAUAACCAGCUUUAAUUCAAUCCACAGAUACUAUUCCUCUGCCAAUUCUGGAAUAGACAUGUGAUCAAAAAAAGCCAAGAUUCACUGAGGAGCUUCUGGAAAAGAAUUUCUUGAGAGCCAAUGGAAUAGAUAGUCUCUCUUCCUCUGGAUAUUGCAGGGUAGGGGUACAGAUAUAAACUUGAAACUGCAUCGGUCAGCUCAUAACCUCCCUAAGGAUCAAACUAACAGAAGAGAGAGAUGCAAAUAGACCUGAGAGCAGAGCAGUGAAGCGGGCCCCUGAUUGAUCCAUGCCUGACCUCCACCCACUACUGGGCUUUUAAGUUCUGUGAGCCAACACAUAUCACCCCAUGGUGGUAUCUAGACCGGCAUAGCCUCACCGGUGACUAGCUGCAUCUCUGAAACCCUGUCAUAUUCUCUACCACUCCUUAUGAAUCGCCUCAGGAGCAGCUGCAGAAACUCAUCACUUCCUAAGGAGUACCCACCAGAGCCAGAGGGCAGAGCCCAUACCUGUGAGCUCUUAGAGUGGGAAGAACGUACAGUCCUUGUGUAAAGUCUCUUUCGGCUCCGAGAAGUGAUGAACCAUGGUACCUGCACUCCCAGUUAUACCUUCUGCCCUUCACAGCGUACCGCCUCCUCUUCCAGCCGGCCAGACGUUGUCUCAGGAAGCAGUUUCCUGGCACAGCAACACUGAACUACUGGCCCCAAGUCCCCAAAGAAGAGACAGCCAGUGAGGAACUGCCUUUAUUUCUUGAUUCCCAUGCAGAAGUCCCAGCAGGGUGGUGGAAGUGGCAUGGAAGCAUCAUCUCCCCAGGAUGUUGCCCAGAGGCCAAGGGAACUGUUUGACCAAUGGACCUACCUCUCAAG